GUGAGUGUAGUGAAGACGGUUAGGACGUUGGGCUACUGAUCGGAAGGUCAUGAGUUCGAUCCCCAGCACUGCCA
This is a non-coding RNA of Pangasius djambal, 74 nucleotides long. NCBI's taxonomy places the organism in Eukaryota, Metazoa, Chordata, Actinopteri, Siluriformes, Pangasiidae. The record is from the annotation of a GenBank genome assembly.